Molecule: small RNA, 28 nt
Filed under: Bombyx mori (domestic silkworm)
Lineage: Eukaryota; Metazoa; Arthropoda; Insecta; Lepidoptera; Bombycidae
Description: ovarian small RNA-37602
Source: RNAcentral
UUGAAAUGCAAUGUCCAGUGGCGGAUGG